RNAcentral lists this transfer RNA (71 nucleotides) under Trichechus manatus latirostris (Florida manatee). RNAcentral describes it as "tRNA-Gly (TCC) (tRNA-Gly-TCC-37-1)". It matches the Rfam family "tRNA". Rfam says of the family: Transfer RNA (tRNA) molecules are approximately 80 nucleotides in length. Lineage: Eukaryota; Metazoa; Chordata; Mammalia; Sirenia; Trichechidae. The record is from Rfam by way of RNAcentral.
AGAUUGGUGGUUCAGUGGUAGAAUUCUUGCCUUCCAUGCAGGAGACCUGGGUUCAAUUCCCAGCCAAUGCA